Molecule: ribosomal RNA, 489 nt
Filed under: uncultured bacterium
Lineage: Bacteria
Description: partial 16S ribosomal RNA
Rfam family: Bacterial small subunit ribosomal RNA
Source: RNAcentral
UUGAACGCUGGCGGCAGGCCUAACACAUGCAAGUCGAACGGUAACAGGAAGAAGCUUGCUUCUUUGCUGACGAGUGGCGGACGGGUGAGUAAUGUCUGGGAAACUGCCUGAUGGAGGGGGAUAACUACUGGAAACGGUAGUUAAUACCGCAUAACGUCGCAAGACCAAAGAGGGGGACCUUCGGGCCUCUUGCCAUCGGAUGUGCCCAGAUGGGAUUAGCUAGUAGGUGGGGUAACGGCUCACCUAGGCGACGAUCCCUAGCUGGUCUGAGAGGAUGACCAGCCACACUGGAACUGAGACACGGUCCAGACUCCUACGGGAGGCAGCAGUGGGGAAUAUUGCACAAUGGGCGCAAGCCUGAUGCAGCCAUGCCGCGUGUAUGAAGAAGGCCUUCGGGUUGUAAAGUACUUUCAGCGGGGAGGAAGGGAGUAAAGUUAAUACCUUUGCUCAUUGACGUUACCCGCAGAAGAAGCACCGGCUAACUCCGUG